AUCUUUGCGCUUGGGGCAAUGACGCAGCUAAUGAGGUUCUAACCGAGGCGCGUCUAUUGCUGGUUGAAAACUAUUUCCAAACCCCCUCUUAAGCCUUGGUUUAUCCUUGGCCUUCGAGAAUUUCUGGAAGGGCUCCCCCAAGGGGUAAAGCC
Molecule: small nuclear RNA, 152 nt
Organism: Medicago truncatula (barrel medic)
Lineage: Eukaryota; Viridiplantae; Streptophyta; Magnoliopsida; Fabales; Fabaceae
Rfam family: U4 spliceosomal RNA
About the family: U4 small nuclear RNA (U4 snRNA) is a component of the major U2-dependent spliceosome. The structure of U4 snRNA from yeast and human has been reported.
Source: Rfam